AGGAUAAACGCUGGCGGCGUGCAUGAGACAUGCAAGUCGAACGGACGAUCAGGGCUUGCUCUGAUCGUUAGUGGCGGACGGCUGAGUAACGCGUAGGUGACCUGCCCCGAAGUGGGGAAUAACUGCCCGAAAGGGUGGCUAAUACCGCAUGUGGUGGUGUGUUCAUUCACACCAGUAAAGCCGCAAGGCGCUUCGGGAGGGGCCUGCGUCCGAUUAGCUCGUUGGUGGGUAACGGCUCACCAAGGCGACGAUCGGUAGGUGAUCUGAGAGGACGAUCACCCAGACUGGGACUGAGACACGGCCCAGACUCCUACGGGAGGCAGCAGUCGGGAAUUUUGCGCAAUGGACGAAAGUCUGACGCAGCAACGCCGCGUGAGGGAUGAAGGCCUUCGGGUUGUAAACCUCUUUUAUCUAGGGAAGAUAAUGACGGUACCUGAUGAAUAAGUCACGGCUAACUACGUGCCAGCAGCCGC
Molecule: ribosomal RNA, 473 nt
Filed under: uncultured bacterium
Lineage: Bacteria
Description: SSU rRNA
Rfam family: Bacterial small subunit ribosomal RNA
Source: RNAcentral